UCCGAGUGCCACGCGGCGGCCAAACGCCGUAUCCCCAAAUUUCUUUCUAUGGGCACGAUGCCAGAAAAUUUUUGCCACUUCUUCACCGCCUUUCACCACCCUUUUCCUCUUUUAUGCUCCCGAAGUAGACCCUUUUCCCCUUUUAUGCUCCCGAAGCAGCGGGAUGGUAAAUAGGCUUCGACUUGUCGCUGGCGAAGGGUAUAGAUCAGGCUCGGGUCGUCGACGAUGGACACAGCGGCGGCAACGGCUUGGACGGCUUGGGCGGUGGACACAGCAGCAACGGCGGCUUCAGCGAUGAUGACGGCAGACGUGAUGGCGGUGGCGGCGGCAGACGCAGAGGACAGAGCGAGCAUGGUGGCGGCCGCAGUCGUGGUGGGUGUGGUGGUGGUCGCGGAUGCGAUGGACGCGGUGGUGACGACUUCCUGUCAACUGUAAAUAUAUAUGUAUAUUUUUUUUAAUUUGUAUUUUUUUUUUUAAUCCUUCUCUUCUUCUCCACUCUCUUUCUUUUUUUUUUCUCUCUCUCUUUUUUUUUAACUUCUUCCUUAAUGUUCACAGUACGCUCUUUUCUUCUUUUUUUUUUUUCUUUUUUUUAGUUUUUUUUAAGUAUGGAUGAAGCCUCCUCUUGUGCCGUACGCGGAUCCUCCGUGCGAUUCCCCCCUGCUCGAGCUUCUUUCUCAAGUUAUUUAUAAAGCUCAAGUAUAAAUUUUCAAAAUUUUCUCAUAUCUUAAAGAGAUUUUUAAGAUAUUGAGAAAUAUGUGAUCCCGGAUAUUUCGGGAUCCUGUUGACUGGGUAGAGAUGGGGGUGGAGAAGAGAGAGAUAGAGAGAAGCGGCAGAGGGGGGAGAAGAGAGAGAUAGGGAGACCUAUGGAGGAGAGAUAAAGGGGCACUGUUACCUAGAAAGAGAGAUGAAGGAGAAGAGAGAGAUAGGGAGAUUUAGGGCACAGGACCUUAAAAAAAAAAAUGCAUAACAUGGAAGCACAAAAAUGUGCCACGUAUACCUUUAGAGACUGUCAAAUUAUGUAUUUGUUAAGGAUAUUCUUGUUUAUUAUUUUUCUUUUUCUUUGUUAUCUCUUUGGUCAAUCCACGUGUCAUGGUUCACUUAUAUCCACCAUGUAUAGAAGUGGAGUAUUGACAAACUAUGGGCCACAUCUAUUAAGAUUACAUAUAUUCUAGUCUAUUUCUCUGUUUAUUUAUUUUUUUUCCAUUUUCUCUUCAAUCAAUCUAUGUGGCACCAUUCAUCUGAUAUCUAUCAUGCAUUUGAACAGAAAUAUUAAGAUAAAUUUUGAAUCAUAUUCUAAUAGAUCAAGCUUUUGGAUAUCCUAGAUUUUUUUUCCUUUUUUUUCACUCGAUAGUAAGCCCCUUAUCCUAAGAAACUCUCCUAAAAGAUAGUAUAUACGUAACUCAAGUAGCUCAAACUUUCAACUUCUUUGGAAGUCCUUCUAAGAUAACAACCAACUGCACUAGAUAAUAAUUAUCAAUCUGCUACACUAUUUAAUGAUUGUUAGUAUGUUAAAAUUUCUUAUUUUAUAAUAAUAUUGUUCGAGCAAAACAAAUGGCUAUUUAUAAUUCUAAUAAUCAUCUAUAUUC
Molecule: long non-coding RNA, 1586 nt
Filed under: Ananas comosus (pineapple)
Lineage: Eukaryota; Viridiplantae; Streptophyta; Magnoliopsida; Poales; Bromeliaceae
Description: long non-coding RNA (ACOM_LNC017625)
Source: RNAcentral